AACGCACCUUGCACUCCUUGGUAUUCCGAGGAGUAUGCCUGUUUGAGUGUCAUUAAUUUCUCAACUGUUAUCAAGCUUUAUUGCUGUUAAUUCGUUGGACUUGGGGGUUCUGGCGUUUUAUGUCGGCUCCCCUUAAAUCUAUUAGCUGGUUUCUAAUGACUUGUCUAAUUGGUGUGAUAAAUUAUCUACGCCAUUGACUUGUUGUUUUUACCGCUUCUAAUUGUCUGUUCAUUCAGACUAUAUAAUGACAAAUUUGACCUCAAAUCAGGUAGGACUACCCGCUGAACUUAA
Molecule: unclassified non-coding RNA, 291 nt
Filed under: uncultured fungus
Lineage: Eukaryota; Fungi
Description: partial contains 5.8S ribosomal RNA, internal transcribed spacer 2, and large subunit ribosomal RNA
Rfam family: 5.8S ribosomal RNA (bases 1-52)
Source: RNAcentral